Molecule: ribosomal RNA, 253 nt
Filed under: uncultured bacterium
Lineage: Bacteria
Description: partial 16S ribosomal RNA
Rfam family: Bacterial small subunit ribosomal RNA
Source: RNAcentral
GACGAACCGAGCGAACGUUGUUCGGAGUCACUGGGCUUAAAGGGCGCGUCGGCGGGCUAUCAAGUCCGGGGUGAAAUCCUCCAGCUUAACUGGAGAACGGCCUCGGAUACUGAUGGUCUCGAGGGAGGUAGGGGCACGCGGAACUGUGGGUGGAGCGGUGAAAUGCGUUGAUAUCCAUAGGAACUCCGGUGGCGAAGGCGGCGUGCUGGACCUUUUCUGACGCUGAGGCGCGAAAGCCAGGGGAGCGAACGGG